AAUACGAAGGGGGCUAGCGUUGCUCGGAAUCACUGGGCGUAAAGCGCACGUAGGCGGCUUCUUAAGUCAGGGGUGAAAUCCUGGAGCUCAACUCCAGAACUGCCUUUGAUACUGAGGAGCUUGAGUCCGGGAGAGGUGAGUGGAACUGCGAGUGUAGAGGUGAAAUUCGUAGAUAUUCGCAAGAACACCAGUGGCGAAGGCGGCUCACUGGCCCGGUACUGACGCUGAGGUGCGAAAGCGUGGGGAGCAAACAG
Molecule: ribosomal RNA, 254 nt
Filed under: uncultured prokaryote
Description: partial 16S ribosomal RNA
Rfam family: Bacterial small subunit ribosomal RNA
Source: RNAcentral